Molecule: long non-coding RNA, 234 nt
Organism: Callorhinchus milii (elephant shark)
Lineage: Eukaryota; Metazoa; Chordata; Chondrichthyes; Chimaeriformes; Callorhinchidae
Exons: 3
Source: RefSeq, a predicted model, not a curated record
UCCGAAAGACAUCGUCAGAUGCGGGAUGGAUUUGGAAGCUUUGCUCGAAACCUUGGAGUCUUGCGAUCAGUUGGAAGUGGCGGAAUCCCUGAAGGAAUUUAACAAGGAGUACGCCGAGUGCUUCUUCUUCAAUGCUGAGGAACGAGAGAGGCGGAAGCAACAAGAAUUGGAGGAGGUAAUGGAAUAUAUUUGCCCCCCCGUCCACCCCCGACCCUCUCGUUAGCCCUCAAGCAU